UGGCCAGUGAUGAAAAACCUAUUAAUCAUACCAUCUUUUGGGACUGAUCGGUUGCUAUGUGUCCAUGCUGUCUUUCUGCAAUUCUGAAGCCA
This is a non-coding RNA of Triticum aestivum (bread wheat), 92 nucleotides long. The record is from Rfam. Lineage: Eukaryota; Viridiplantae; Streptophyta; Magnoliopsida; Poales; Poaceae.